AUGGCUGUCGUCAGCUCGUGUCGUGAGAUGUUGGGUUAAGUCCCGCAACGAGCGCAACCCCCGCCCUUAGUUGCUACCAUUUAGUUGAGCACUCUAAGGAGACUGCCGGUGAUAAGCCGCGAGGAAGGUGGGGAUGACGUCAAGUCCUCAUGGCCCUUACGGGCUGGGCUACACACGUGCUACAAUGGCGGUGACAAUGGGACGCUAAGGGGCAACCCUUCGCAAAUCUCAAAAAGCCGUCUCAGUUCGGAUUGGGCUCUGCAACUCGAGCCCAUGAAGUUGGAAUCGAUAGUAAUCGUGGAUCAGCAUGCCACGGUGAAUACGUUCCCGGGCCUUGUACACACCACCCGUCACACCAUGGGAGUUGGUUUUACCUGAAGACGGUGCGCUAACCGCAAGGAGGCAGCCGGCCACGGUAGGGUCAGCGACUGGGGUGAAGUCGUAACAAGGUAGCCGUAGGGGAACCUGCGGCUGGAUCACCUCCUUUCUAAGGAUGGUUCUUCAAGAGCUCGCUCUUAUCGAACCUCUUUUGAAACAUCAGGGGCCAACGAUCGUCAGGAUCGUUGAGCUCCAUUGGCGGGAUUUCGCCGUCUUCGUUUCUCUUUCUUCGCGGACGAACACGCGCCAGGGGCUUGCGCUUGUGCGACGCAUCGGCGCGAGCCGGUUGCGCGCGAGCAUGUCCCAACCCUUCCUUAGGGAAUUGGCCGUUGAGGGCUUGUAGCUCAGUUGGUUAGAGCGCGCGCUUGAUAAGCGUGAGGUCGGAAGUUCAAGUCUUCCCAGGCCCACCACUUUGAUCGAGCGCAUGCGUCUCCUGGCCGGCAACAGCAUUCGUCUUCUGGUACGGGGCCAUAGCUCAGCUGGGAGAGCGCGUGCUUUGCAAGCAUGAGGUCGUCGGUUCGAUCCCGUCUGGCUCCACCAGCCUUCGCUGGCUGCGCCAGCUACGGCUCGGCAAGCCAUCGUAGCGAAGGCUGCCGCGUCGAAGCUCGAAAGAGCGAAGACGGGCUAACUGCUGCUUUCAAUUUCGCCGUCCGCGAAACAUCACUUCGCAUGUCGUGUCCCUUACGGGACGCGCGUGCGGGAUUUCUGACAUCGUAUAGAGGAGAUCGAUCCGAGUUUGGAUCCGGCGAAGCAAUUCGCGGGAAUUCCACUCAUAAUCUCCAGGACAUUUCGGCGCUCGAUCAUCGCAAGAUGAUUGAGUUUGUAAAUGUCCUUUUUGGUGAAGCUUGACCGCCUCAUCAUCGGGUUGAUCUUACGAAGCAAGCUGGUCUUUCUAAUCAUGUCCAGCCGCAUGCAGCAUUCAUCGAGGGUGCGCGCCACGGAGUUUCGACUCUAGGGCAAGUGUGCGGACUACAUCCUGCCGAGUGUGUGGACAUUGAUAAUGAGAGCAAUCAAGUGCCUUAAGGGUGUUCGGUGGAUGCCUUGGCGCUGAGAGGCGAUGAAGGACGUGCUACGCUGCGAUAAGCCGUGGGGAGCUGCGAAGAAGCUUUGAUCCACGGAUUUCCGAAUGGGGAAACCCGG
This 1518-nucleotide small RNA is filed under the name uncultured Bradyrhizobiaceae bacterium. RNAcentral's name for it is "bacterial SSU rRNA". The stretch from base 1 to 487 matches the Rfam family "Bacterial small subunit ribosomal RNA", at positions 1045 to 1533 of the family's 1533-position model. The record is from RNAcentral. Lineage: Bacteria; Pseudomonadati; Pseudomonadota; Alphaproteobacteria; Hyphomicrobiales; Nitrobacteraceae.